UACAGGUUAAUAUUACUACUGAAUGAUCUCCCUACAGGUUAAUAUGACUACUGAAUGAUCUCCCUACAGGUUAAUAAACUACUGAAUGAUCUCCCUACAGGUUAAUAUUACUACUGAAUGAUCUCCCUACAGGUUAAUAUUACUACUGAAUGAUCUCCCUACAGGUUAAUAUUACUACUGAAUGAUCUCCCUACAGGUUAAUAUUACUACUGAAUGAUCUCCCUACAGGUUAAUAUUACUACUGAAUGAUCUCCCUACGGGUUAAUAAACUACUGAAUGAUCUCCCUACAGGUUAAUAUUACUACUGAAUGAUCUCCCUACAGGUUAAUAUUACUACUGAAUGAUCUCCCUACAGGUUAAUAUUACUACUGAAUGAUCUCCCUACAGGUUAAUAUGACUACUGAAUGUUCUCCCUACAGGUUAAUAUUACUACUGAAUGAUCUCCCUACAGGUUAAUAAACUACUGAAUGAUCUCCCUACAGGUUAAUAUUACUACUGAAUGAUCUCCCUACAGGUUAAUAUUACUACUGAAUGAUCUCCCUACAGGUUAAUAUUACUACUGAAUGAUCUCCCUACAGGUUAAUAUUACUACUGAAUGAUCUCCCUACAGGUUAAUAAACUACUGAAUGAUCUCCCUACAGGUUAAUAUUACUACUGAAUGAUCUCCCUACAGGUUAAUAUUACUACUGAAUGAUCUCCCUACAGGUUAAUAUUACUACUGAAUGAUCUCCCUACAGGUUAAUAUUACUACUGAAUGAUCUCCCUACAGGUUAAUAUGACUACUGAAUGAUCUCCCUACAGGUUAAUAAACUACUGAAUGAUCUCCCUACAGGUUAAUAUUACUACUGAAUGAUCUCCCUACAGGUUAAUAUUACUACUGAAUGAUCUCCCUUCAGGUUAAUAUUACUACUGAAUGAUCUCCCUACAGGUUAAUAUUACUACUGAAUGAUCUCCCUUCAGGUUAAUAUUACUACUGAAUGAUCUCCCUACAGGUUAAUAUUACUACUGAAUGAUCUCCCUUCAGGUUAAUAUUACUACUGAAUGAUCUCCCUACAGGUUAAUAUUACUACUGAAUGAUCUCCCUACAGGUUAAUAUUACUACUGAAUGAUCUCCCUACAGGUUAAUAUUACUACUGAAUGAU
Molecule: long non-coding RNA, 1142 nt
Organism: Oncorhynchus keta (chum salmon)
Lineage: Eukaryota; Metazoa; Chordata; Actinopteri; Salmoniformes; Salmonidae
Exons: 5
Source: RefSeq, a predicted model, not a curated record